RNAcentral lists this ribosomal RNA (404 nucleotides) under Verrucomicrobiota bacterium. RNAcentral's name for it is "Verrucomicrobia bacterium partial 16S ribosomal RNA". It matches the Rfam family "Bacterial small subunit ribosomal RNA", at positions 355 to 776 of the family's 1533-position model. Lineage: Bacteria; Pseudomonadati; Verrucomicrobiota. The record is from RNAcentral.
UGGGGAAUAUUGCACAAUGGGGGAAACCCUGAUGCAGCGACGCCGCGUGAGCGAUGAAGGCUUUCGAGUCGUAAAGCUCUGUCCUAUGGGAAGAUAAUGACGGUACCAUAGAAGAAAGCCCCGGCUAAUUACGUGCCAGCAGCCGCGGUAAUACGUAAGGGGCGAGCGUUGUCCGGAAUUAUUGGGCGUAAAGAGUGCGUAGGCGGCAAAUUAAGUCAGAUGUGAAAACUAAGGGCUCAACCCAUAGAUUGCAUCUGAAACUGAUAUGCUUGAGUCAAGGUGAGGAAAGUGGAAUUCCUAGUGUAGCGGUGGAAUGCGUAGAUAUUAGGAGGAAUACCGGUGGCGAAGGCGACUUUCUGGACUUGAACUGACGCUGAGGCACGAAAGCGUGGGGAGCAAACAGG